Molecule: ribosomal RNA, 567 nt
Filed under: Myxarium podlachicum
Lineage: Eukaryota; Fungi; Basidiomycota; Agaricomycetes; Auriculariales; Hyaloriaceae
Description: partial large subunit ribosomal RNA
Rfam family: Eukaryotic large subunit ribosomal RNA
Source: RNAcentral
CCCUAGUAACGGCGAGUGAAGAGGGAAAAGCUCAAAUUUAAANNNNNNCGGUCUUCGAUCGUCCGAGUUGUAGUUUAGAGAGGUGUUUUCCGCGUCGGACCACACACAAGUCCUUUGGAAUAAGGCUUCAUAGAGGGUGAGAAUCCCGUUCAUGGUGUGGACUACCGAGGCUAUGUGAUGCACCCUCAAAGAGUCGAGUUGUUUGGGAAUGCAGCUCAAAAUGGGUGGUAAAUUCCAUCUAAAGCUAAAUAUUGGGGAGAGACCGAUAGCGCACAAGUACCGUGAGGGAAAGAUGAAAAGCACUUUGGAAAGAGAGUUAAACAGUACGUGAAAUUGCUGAAAGGGAAACGCUUGAAGUCAGUCGCGUCCGCUUGGACUCAGCCGUGGUUCUCCACGGUGUACUUCCAUGCGGAUGGGCCAACAUCAAUUUUGUUCGCCGUACAAAGGCGUUGGGAAUGUGGCACUCUUCGGGGUGUGUUAUAGCCCUUCGUUGUAUGCGGUGGAUGGGAUUGAGGAACGCAGCGCGCCGUAAGGCUGGGAUUUAUCCACACACGCGCUUCCGGAUGU